GACGAACGCUGGCGGCGUGCUUAACACAUGCAAGUCGAACGGAAAGGCCCUGCUUUUGUGGGGUGCUCGAGUGGCGAACGGGUGAGUAACACGUGAGUAACCUGCCCUUGACUUUGGGAUAACUUCAGGAAACUGGGGCUAAUACCGGAUAGGAGCUCCUGCUGCAUGGUGGGGGUUGGAAAGUUUCGGCGGUUGGGGAUGGACUCGCGGCUUAUCAGCUUGUUGGUGGGGUAGUGGCUUACCAAGGCUUUGACGGGUAGCCGGCCUGAGAGGGUGACCGGGCACAUUGGGACUGAGAUACGGCCCAGACUGCUACGGGAGGCAGCAGUGGGGAAUAUUGCACAAUGGGAGGAAGCCUGAUGCAGCAACGCCGCGUGCGGGAUGACGGCCUUCGGGUUGUAAACCGCUUUCGCCUGUGACGAAGCGUGAGUGACGGUAAUGGGUAAAGAAGCACCGGCUAACUACGUG
RNAcentral lists this ribosomal RNA (468 nucleotides) under uncultured bacterium. RNAcentral's name for it is "partial 16S ribosomal RNA". It matches the Rfam family "Bacterial small subunit ribosomal RNA", at positions 28 to 507 of the family's 1533-position model. The record is from RNAcentral.